Molecule: transfer RNA, 72 nt
Filed under: Jenufa minuta
Lineage: Eukaryota; Viridiplantae; Chlorophyta; Chlorophyceae
Description: tRNA-Ile
Rfam family: tRNA
About the family: Transfer RNA (tRNA) molecules are approximately 80 nucleotides in length. Their secondary structure includes four short double-helical elements and three loops (D, anti-codon, and T loops).
Source: RNAcentral
AGCACAAUAGCUUAAUGGUAGAGCAUCGAAUUCAUAUUUCGUAAAGUGAGAGUUCGAGUCUCUCUUUUGCUA